UACGGGGGGGGCUAGCGUUGUUCGGAAUUACUGGGCGUAAAGGGCUCGUAGGCGGCCAACUAAGUCAGACGUGAAAUCCCUCGGCUUAACCGAGGAACUGCGUCUGAUACUGGAUGGCUGGAAUCUGGGAGAGGGAUGCGGAAUUCCAGGUGUAGCGGUGAAAUGCGUAGAUAUCUGGAGGAACACCGGUGGCGAAGGCGGCAUCCUGGACCGGUAUUGACGCUGAGGAGCGAAAGCCAGGGGAGCAAACAGG
Molecule: ribosomal RNA, 253 nt
Filed under: uncultured bacterium
Lineage: Bacteria
Description: partial 16S ribosomal RNA
Rfam family: Bacterial small subunit ribosomal RNA
Source: RNAcentral